Molecule: small RNA, 976 nt
Filed under: Pan troglodytes (chimpanzee)
Lineage: Eukaryota; Metazoa; Chordata; Mammalia; Primates; Hominidae
Description: retained intron
Source: RNAcentral
GAGAGCUGCAGGAGGGUGACAUGAUCUCAAUAAAAGGAAUGCUCUGGCUGCUGGGUAGAGAAGAAAGCGAGGACAUGCUGCUGCUGAAGAAACACACGGAGGACAUCAGCAGCGUCUACGAGAUCCGUGAGAGGCUCGGAUCGGGUGCCUUCUCCGAGGUGGUGCUGGCCCAGGAGCGGGGCUCCGCACACCUCGUGGCCCUCAAGUGCAUCCCCAAGAAGGCCCUCCGGGGCAAGGAGGCCCUGGUGGAGAAUGAGAUCGCAGUGCUCCGUAGGAUCAGUCACCCCAACAUCGUCGCUCUGGAGGAUGUCCACGAGAGCCCUUCCCACCUCUACCUGGCCAUGGAACUGUGAGGAGGGCCUGGGCAGGCUGUGGGAGCCGGGGAGGGACUGAGCAGUGAGUGGGGCUGAAGGCCAGGCUGAGUGCCUGGGUCAGCCAAACCCCUGGCACCCCCAGGGUGACGGGUGGCGAGCUGUUUGACCGCAUCAUGGAGCGCGGCUCCUACACAGAGAAGGAUGCCAGCCAUCUGGUGGGUCAGGUCCUUGGCGCCGUCUCCUACCUGCACAGCCUGGGGAUCGUGCACCGGGACCUCAAGGUGCCUGGCUGGGGCCUCUGCACCUCACCCUCCCACCUGCCCACCUGGCCCUGCCUUUGUUUUCCCGGGAGCACGGCUGGGGCCUUUCUUGAUCUCCCGCUCCACCAAGGCUCUGGGGAACCUGAGAGUGCCUAGUCCCCAUCCUGUCCCAGCACCGGCACCGCGUCAGGACUGACUGGCCCUUUUCCCGGUGUCCGUGUGUCACAGCCCGAAAACCUCCUGUAUGCCACGCCCUUUGAGGACUCGAAGAUCAUGGUCUCUGACUUUGGACUCUCCAAAAUCCAGGCUGGCAACAUGCUAGGCACCGCCUGUGGGACCCCUGGAUAUGUGGGUGAGGGACGACACCCUGAGGCUUGCUGGGAGUGGGGUGGCCUGGGGGAC